Molecule: non-coding RNA, 85 nt
Filed under: Hemiselmis andersenii
Lineage: Eukaryota; Cryptophyceae; Cryptomonadales; Hemiselmidaceae
Source: RNAcentral
GGAGAAGGCGCGGGCGUGGGCAUAUAGGGUGCCUAUCCAUGUUCUUUCCUCGGAUGAUCUCAAGCUUGUCCACACCUUCUUUGAC